Molecule: ribosomal RNA, 1331 nt
Filed under: metagenome
Description: SSU rRNA
Rfam family: Eukaryotic small subunit ribosomal RNA
Source: RNAcentral
UCUGGUUGAUCCUGCCAGUAGUCAUAUGCUUGUCUUAAAGACUAAGCCAUGCAUGUCUAAGUAUAAAUAGUAUACAGUGAAACUGCGAAUGGCUCAUUAAAACAGUUAUAGUUUACUUGAUAAUUGAAUUCUACAUGGAUAACCGUGGUAAUUCUAGGGCUAAUACAUGCUGUCAAACCUGACUUUUUGGAAAGGUUGUAUUUAUUAGAUAACAAACCAAUAUUCCUUCGGGUCUAUUGUGAUGAUUCAUAGUAACUGAUCGGAGCGAGGCUUUGCCACGCUAAAUCAUUCAAGUUUCUGCCCUAUCAGCUUUCGAUGGUAGUGUAUUGGACUACCAUGGCAGUCACGGGUAACGGGGAAUUAGGGUUCGAUUCCGGAGAGGGAGCCUGAGAAACGGCUACCACAUCUAAGGAAGGCAGCAGGCGCGUAAAUUACCCAAUCCUAAUUCAGGGAGGUAGUGACAAGAAAUAACAACUCGGAGUCUCACGACUUGCGAGAUUGCAAUGAGCACAAUUUAAAUCUCUUAGCAAGGAACAAUUGGAGGGCAAGUCUGGUGCCAGCAGCCGCGGUAAUUCCAGCUCCAAUAGCGUAUAUUAAAGUUGUUGCAGUUAAAAAGCUCGUAGUUGAACUUCUGGGCGUUCUCACAGUGGCUCCGGUCGUUGUGAGGGCGUUCAUCCGUCUGAGAACUAUAUUCGGCCUUCGCUGGUCGGUAUAGGGAUCAGGCAUUUUACUUUGAAAAAAUUAGAGUGUCCCAGGCAGGCAAUCGCCUUGAAUACACAAGCAUGGAAUAAUGGAAUAGGACUAUGAUUCAUUUUGUUGGUUAUUGGAUCAUAGUAAUGAUUAACAGGGACAGUUGGGGGGCAUUAGUAUUUAAUUGUCAGAGGUGAAAUUCUUGGAUUUAUUAAAGACUAACUUAUGCGAAAGCAUUUGCCAAGGAUGUUUUCAUUAAUCAAGAACGAAAGUUAGGGGAUCAAAGACGAUCAGAUACCGUCCUAGUCUUAACCAUAAACUAUUCCGACUAGGGAUUGGUUGGGUUCCUUCAGCCCAAUCAGCACCUUAUGAGAAAUCAAAGUCUUUGGGUUCCGGGGGGAGUAUGGUCGCAAGGCUGAAACUUAAAGGAAUUGACGGAAGGGCACCACCAGGAGUGGAGCCUGCGGCUUAAUUUGACCCAACACGGGGAAACUCACCAGCGCAAAACAUGGGUGGGAUUGACAGAUUGAGAGCUCUUUCUUGAUUCUAUGGGUGGUGGUGCAUGGCCGUUCUUAGUUGGUGGAGUGAUUUGUCUGGUUAAUUCCGUUAACGAACGAGACCUUAACCUGCUAACUAGUCUC